UCAUGCCCUUGUCUUAAAGGUUAAGCCAUGCAUGUUUUAGUUUAAAUAUUUUACCUUGAAAAUGGGAAAGGCUCCUUAUAUAAGUUAUCGCUUAUUUGAUAGUCCCUUACUACUUGGAUAACCGUAGUAAUUUUAGAGCUAAUACCUGGGUCAAUACCCUUUUGGGGUAGUAUUUAUUUGAUAGAAACCAACCCCUUUGGGGUGAUGUGGUGAUUCACCAUUAGCUUGCGGAUUGCACGGUUUUGCCGGCAAUGGAUCAUUCAAGUUUUUUCCCUAUCAGCUUUGGGCGGUAAGGUAUUGGCUUUCCGUGGCUUUAACGGGUAACGGAAAAAUAGGGUUUGAUUUCGGAGAGGGAGCCUGAGAGGCGGGUACCUCAUCCAAGGAAGGCAGCAGGCGUGAAAAUUACCCCAUUUUCAAACUAGGAGGUUGUUACAAUAAAUCACAAUGCCGGGCCCUGAUAGGUUUGGCAAUUGGAAAAGGGACAAUUUAAAUCCCUUAUCGAGGAUCAAUUGGAGGCCAA
Molecule: ribosomal RNA, 520 nt
Filed under: uncultured eukaryote
Lineage: Eukaryota
Description: bacterial SSU rRNA
Rfam family: Eukaryotic small subunit ribosomal RNA
Source: RNAcentral